This 286-nucleotide long non-coding RNA is filed under the name Brassica napus (rape). RNAcentral describes it as "long non-coding RNA (BNAP_LNC013163)". Lineage: Eukaryota; Viridiplantae; Streptophyta; Magnoliopsida; Brassicales; Brassicaceae. The record is from RNAcentral.
CGGAUUUGAAGUCUGGGAAAUUAGUGAAUCCCUCCUUGGCAUACAAGUCUUACUGGAAAACUUCGGAAAGUAUAACAAACAACAAAGAAAAGUUGUAUUAAUCAAGUUUUCAGUGGGACUAUGAAAUUCUAUCAAUUUAAAGAGUUUCAAUGAUAUGCGACAUUGAAUAGAGCGGUUUAGAGUGUAAUGGUUUAUCAUCAGAGGUGAGAGUUAAGCGAUGAAGUGGGAGAACCCUAGGCCCUAGCUCAGAGACGGUGAAAAAGAAUAGACGAUUAGGAGGCUUCUU